This 203-nucleotide long non-coding RNA is filed under the name Elaeis guineensis (African oil palm). RNAcentral's name for it is "long non-coding RNA (EGUI_LNC023193)". Lineage: Eukaryota; Viridiplantae; Streptophyta; Magnoliopsida; Arecales; Arecaceae. The record is from RNAcentral.
CCCCCUCCGUCUCCUCUCUUUAUCUUCGCUUUUUCCUUUCUUUCUUUUUUUUUAUUUUUUCACUUUCUCAUUUCUUGACUGCAAUUUGUACUUCAUUUUAUUUAUCAAUAAAAUAUUAUAAUAGGUUUCAUUAAUUUGCUCGAAGAUAUAAUGAUAUCUGUAAUAUAGAAUUUGAAGUUUUAGAUUCCUUUAUAGAGGAACCC